RNAcentral lists this ribosomal RNA (374 nucleotides) under uncultured bacterium. RNAcentral describes it as "bacterial SSU rRNA". It matches the Rfam family "Bacterial small subunit ribosomal RNA", at positions 521 to 896 of the family's 1533-position model. The record is from RNAcentral.
UAAGACGGAGGGGGCUAGCGUUGUUCGGAAUUACUGGGCGUAAAGAGCGCGUAGGCGGUUUGGUAAGUUGGGAGUGAAAGCCCGGGGCUUAACCUCGGAAUUGCUUCCAAAACUGCCAAUCUAGAGUAUAGUAGGGGAUGAUGGAAUUCCUGGUGUAGAGGUGAAAUUCUUAGAUAUCAGGAGGAACACCGGUGGCGAAGGCGAUCAUCUGGGCUAUAACUGACGCUGAGGCGCGAAAGCGUGGGGAGCAAACAGGAUUAGAUACCCUGGUAGUCCACGCCGUAAACGAUGAGUGCUAGAUAUCGGGAGAUUUUCUUUCGGUUUCGCAGCUAACGCAUUAAGCACUCCGCCUGGGGAGUACGGCCGCAAGGUUA